This 253-nucleotide ribosomal RNA is filed under the name uncultured prokaryote. RNAcentral describes it as "partial 16S ribosomal RNA". It matches the Rfam family "Bacterial small subunit ribosomal RNA", at positions 524 to 776 of the family's 1533-position model. The record is from RNAcentral.
UACGGAGGGAGCUAGCGUUGUUCGGAAUUACUGGGCGUAAAGCGCACGUAGGCGGCGAUUCAAGUCAGAGGUGAAAGCCCGGGGCUCAACCCCGGAACUGCCUUUGAAACUAGAUCGCUAGAAUCCUGGAGAGGUUAGUGGAAUUCCGAGUGUAGAGGUGAAAUUCGUAGAUAUUCGGAAGAACACCAGUGGCGAAGGCGACUAACUGGACAGGUAUUGACGCUGAGGUGCGAAAGCGUGGGGAGCAAACAGG